UCCUUGUCUUUGAACAGAGCCAGUUCUCUGCCUGCCUUCUCCUCCAAGCCUCAGAGGAGGCACCUCUGGAGUAAUUGGCUGUGAGGGCUUGGCACCUAUCUGUUGAGAAAUAAUAUUUGUCAAAGGGCUCUGGGGUGGUGGUGUGAGGCGUUUAUUAGUGAUCUAAGGCAACAGAAGUUGCCUCUGGUGCUUAUUGACUGUUUCUUGCUGGAGGUGCAGAAAUACACAGGCACGAAAGGGUGAGUUACUGUGGUGGCUGUUCUCUAGACCAGCAGGGACUUGGCAAGCUCUUGGAGGACAGAGUGUCUUGCAUCAAUCAACACUGACCCCUCUGGCUGAAUAUGUACAGGCAUAAAGAGCCUCCUAAAUUAGCCUCUGUUCUCCUUAGCGGGAUGGAUGGAGGAUGAAAAGCAAUUCCUGGAGGAAGAGAAAAUGUGUGUGAUGGUGAAUUGAGCUAUGUUUUAAAACCCAGGCCAUCUCUUUCUGCCCAAAAGAGGUCUGAAAUGUCUUCAUUUUCCAAGGGCCUAUUAAAGAGUGGACAGGGCCUCAUGGGAUGCCUGUUGGGCUCAGCCUCUCCAGACCUCUCUCUUUGAGACCAAAGGAUGAGAAACACCUGACAAGAGUUUUCCUACUUCUGCUCAGAUCUGUUCCAAUGAAAGUCUCUGAGAAUGAGUAGUAAAAUUAAUAUUUUU
RNAcentral lists this long non-coding RNA (692 nucleotides) under Mus spicilegus (steppe mouse). RNAcentral's name for it is "lncRNA (ENSMSIG00000016427.1)". The record is from RNAcentral. Lineage: Eukaryota; Metazoa; Chordata; Mammalia; Rodentia; Muridae.